Molecule: long non-coding RNA, 3101 nt
Organism: Orcinus orca (killer whale)
Lineage: Eukaryota; Metazoa; Chordata; Mammalia; Artiodactyla; Delphinidae
Exons: 4
Source: RefSeq, a predicted model, not a curated record
UGGGCGGAGACGGGGCUAGCUGGACAGAAGGUCGGGAGAAAUGUGUACUAAACCUGAUAUUUCAGGUGUGGGAGAAUCCCACCUCCCCCAAAACACACACUGCGCACAGGUGCCUGCGAUUCCUGUUAGAGAACAGGGUUAAGGUAUAAUAUACCCUUGUGGGUAGAUGACAGCCAGCGCCUUGAACACGCGCUGUAUUUACAAGGAGAGAGCAGAGGAUACAGGGCAAGGGAGGGGAGGUGGCCGCGGAGACGUCGCUAGGCUGCCUAGGGUCUUGCGGACCGUGGAGAAUGCCCUGAGGUCACACUGGUAUUGAAGCUAUGAAAAAAGAGCAAACAUCUUGAUGCUCCGUUUGGGUGGCAUCUUCUGAGAAGAGAGUCCUGCUAAAGGAGAGCCUGGCGGUAGGAUGGUUCUUACCUCACUCAUUUGCAGAGAAUUGGCUUUUGCCAGGACAACCUCUGGCGUGUCGACAAUGGAAGUGAAUUUCAAGGCUUCUGGGCGUGUCCUGUAGAGUCUUUCAUUCAGCAGGUCUUGAGCACCCUUCACCCUGGUCAUUUCUACUGAGCCUUCUGGCAUCCAGCCAAUGCCACGCAGCCAAUCCAGGUCUGCUUUGUACACAUUCUACAGAGACAUUAGACAGAAAUAUUGUUCCAAGUGCUAGACAUAGCAUCCCUUAAUUGGAAAGUAAGUUCACGGAGUUGAGGGGUUGAUAAGCACAGGAGAUGGUGGUUCCAAAAAAGUAGGACCUGAGAUUUUACAUGAAUCAGGGGUUUCAAUAUCCAUGACAGAGUAAUUUGUAAAAGCAUAAUUUUUUAUGCUAGCCAUGAAUAAGGAUAAAAUGGUAAUAAUGCUAAAUUUCAUGGUAAUUAUUUGAUAUUUCAAAGAAAUUAUAUAACUGGAAAACAAUUUAAAGAUAUUGUGCCAAAUCUCAUUUCAUUUUCAUCCUGUAAUAGGAUGAAACUCUGUUUAGUGUUUUGGAUAUAGUACAAGAGUGGCAGUUAUUUUUUAAAUGUUCAGAUAAUUUACGCUUAUUUUAAAUAUAUUUUCAUUGCCAGACAGUACAAAGGACAUGAAGAGAAUAGUCUGGAAUCUAGGCCAGGGAGGACAUGACCUAAGUAGGGUUCUUCAUCUAUGUUCUUUGAUUCCCAUAACAAAACUCCUAAAUAUGGGUUUUGUUUUAACAAUGUGAAUGGCCCCCCCUGAGGUUGUGCAGUGAGCAACCCAUGGGUCUGUCCACAGAGGCACUGUCUGUACAAUUAACAAAUCUAUGUCCUCCCAUUCCUCCUUUCCCAAAGAUCACGUUACGUACAUCACUCUGUAGUUCAUAGGCCUUCCUUGCUUGGAUAAUGUCGUUUUGAUCAGGUAAGCACGUCCAGUGAUGCAGGUAAUUUCGAUAAUCAAUGUUACUGACCAGAAUCUGACAUUUCUUGGCCAGCAAGAUGCCUAACAUGUCCACUGGGCUACUGAACUUGGUCUUCCACUUCUGGAAAUCCUUCUUAUACUCUCUUUCACUUUGAAUCUUCCCUGCAUGUAUGGCACACAUAAUCUUGGGGUCAUCUUCAAUGCUCUGGGCUCCAAUGUGGUGGCCUUUCUGUUUCUCAUAUGCUUCUUUGUAUUUGUACUAAAACAUAAGAAACAUAUGUUUAAAAGCCCAGUUUUAAAACCAUAUGCAUGCUGACAAUUAGACAACAUGAAAACCCACAAGCAAAUGGAUAAGAAUUUCAUAUUUUGAAUAUUUUGACAUCUCUGAACAAUUUUAAACUGUUUUAUGCUGUCAUAAACGUAACAGUAGUGUAAUCAUAUAUCUUCACUGCUGAAAACUUUUUCUGCAACAACUCUAACUACAAUUUCAAAAUGUGUUUUUCUUCUCUGAGACAACAAAGGGAAAGGUCUUGGAAGGUAAGAAGCAUGACUGGAGGGGUAUAUGAGGAAGCAGUUACAAACUGUGGACCACCAGCUGCACUGUGGUUGUUCAGCAAGGUGAGACCAAGGGGGUUAGACAGAGAGCACUUACGUCACUGGCAAUGUCUCUCGAGGCCUUGGCACUCUUGAUGGGAAUAGCAUCAGCUCUCAGAUCAUAGUCCUUCAUCUUUGAUUCAUCCCAUCCCUUGGUGUAAAGUUUCUAGGUGGAGGAUAAUACACAACAGAAAAAGAAAAGAGUUAUAGAAAGUUAACAGGCCACUUCCAGUAAGGAAGGUGGUAAGAUGGGAAAAGUAUUUUAAUUACUCCUAGACUAAAGGCUGACUUAACAAUCAGGAAAUCUCUUACUUGGCUUAUAUUGGCAGAAUUGCUCUUGGCCAGCUUGAUUUCUGGGGUGUCCGGCAUCACGUGGAUGGAGGUUUUGUCAGUAUCCCAGGCUUCUGUAUAUAAAUGCUAUAGGGGAGGUGAGGUAAAACCCUUUGUUAAAGCCAAUACAUUGCAGUUAUUAUAAAAUUUAACUCAUUUAACUGUAAAAUAGCCUUUGAAAACUUAUGUGGAGGUGAGGGAAGCAAAAGGGUAUGGGGAGAGUAAAUCAUGGCAAUAUUUAAACAGACAUAUGAUCGUUUCAUAGCCAAUGUAAAGCAACAUCAUGAUCUCAAUUAUUGAUUCUUUUCAUCCAGUGACUCUCAAGCUUACUCACAGAACCUUCAAGGAUGGAGCUUGGCUAUAGAGCUAUGAUAUAGUAGAAAUCCCUAGACUUCAGAAUCAAUCCCAAGGUCAAACCCAACUCCCCGAUGUCCAAGCUGUGUGAUCUUGAGAAAGGAUGGAUAAAGAGAUGCUGAUGCCUUGAGUCUGCUGUGCCAAGCAGAAUGUGUAGAGAAAAGUAGUGCAUUUGUGGAUGUCUCUGGGUCACUGCUCAGAAGAGUGUAUGCCUUACUGCAGAGAAAUUGUCCUAGGCUGUACUUCCUCACCCACCCAGAGAAUGAGGGGACACAGGGUUGAGAGAAGCAUGCAGGUCCAACUAGGAUUCAAGCACAUGCUCUGUUGAAGGCCUGCAUGAGAAUUAGGCCCAUCACCUCUCCUUUCUCUGGAAAUCCUCUAGGACAUUUCUUACUUUAUAAGCCCAGUCUGUGGAAGGUAUGACACCGGCAACUGGCAAAAGCUGGAGACUCACCUUGCUC